CCAACCGCCAUUGUUCGUGGCAGUUUGUGGCGUCCUGAAGCUGGAUUUGGCUUGAAAAUGUCGUUCCCUAAAGAAAAUAAGAAUAGGAUAGCUUACAAUAUGACAGGCAGCUUUGGUAAAUGGAAAAAAGGGAAACAAGAACUUGAAAGUGUCGUGCGUCUAACCAAAAUUUGAAGAAAAUUGAUCCAAAAAAUCAAGAGCCUGAUAAAAAGCGAGGACCCAUUGACAUCGUUUCUCAUAAAAAUUCAAGAUCUCGAUAGUAACAAAGUUGGUGUGGACAACAAUAGUUCUACCCAAAAAAUUUAUACCAGGGACCAUACUUCCAAUCCUGAAAGAACUGCAAGUUUGUCUAGCAGCUAAGCUCUCGUAAUU
Long non-coding RNA from Daphnia carinata, 372 nucleotides. RefSeq lists it as uncharacterized. The transcript is spliced from 3 exons. NCBI's taxonomy places the organism in Eukaryota, Metazoa, Arthropoda, Branchiopoda, Diplostraca, Daphniidae. The record is from RefSeq and is a predicted model, not a curated record.